This 115-nucleotide ribosomal RNA is filed under the name Acinetobacter baumannii. The record is from RNAcentral. Lineage: Bacteria; Pseudomonadati; Pseudomonadota; Gammaproteobacteria; Moraxellales; Moraxellaceae.
GCUGGCGACCAUAGCAAGAGUGAACCACCUGAUCCCUUCCCGAACUCAGAAGUGAAACCUCUUAGCGCGAAUGGUAGUGUGGGAUUACCCAUGUGAGAGUAAGUCAUCGCCAGCU